Leptospira interrogans serovar Icterohaemorrhagiae is the source of this 205-nucleotide non-coding RNA. The record is from Rfam. Lineage: Bacteria; Pseudomonadati; Spirochaetota; Leptospiria; Leptospirales; Leptospiraceae.
AGAGAACUUCUAUAAAAUUGAUUUUUAAUUUUUGUUGAUAGUCGCCAAACAACGACUUGAUGCAAAAAUCUAAUUGGAUAAUUAUCCUUUUUAAAUUUUGUAAAGGCUCUCAAUAAAUAAACACAGCAAAUACACAAAAUGAAAACUUCAAAUAAAACAAUUAGAGUGAGUGUUUAUGAAGAAAAUAUUUUGUAUUUCGAUUUUU